Molecule: ribosomal RNA, 1884 nt
Filed under: human gut metagenome
Description: bacterial LSU rRNA
Rfam family: Bacterial large subunit ribosomal RNA
Source: RNAcentral
UCAAGCGAACAAGGGCGCAGGGCGAAUGCCUUGGCACUGGGAGCCGAUGAAAGACGUGAUAAGCUGCGAUAAGCUUCGGGGAGCUGCAAAUAAGCAUUGAUCCGGAGAUUUCUGAAUGAGGAAACUCACCUGGGUUCAUACUCAGGUACGUUGUACUGAAAUUCAAAAUAGGUACAUCGGGGGAACCGCCUGAACUGAAACAUCUAAGUAGGGCGAGGAAGAGACAUCAAACGAGAUUCCGUAAGUAGUGGCGAGCGAACGCGGAAGAGGGCAAACCGAAGGUAGAAAUACCUUCGGGGUACGGACUGCUUUUAGGACUCGAUCUGUUAACCGAACGGCAUGGGAAGGCCGGUCAGAGAGUGUGAGAACCACGUAGGUGAAAACGGAAAGAGCUGCGCAGAAUCCAGAGUACGGCCAGACACGUGAAACCUGGUCGGAAGAUGGGGGGACCACCCUCCAACCCUAAAUACUACCCAGUGACCGAUAGCGUAUAGUACUGUGAAGGAAAGGUGAAAAGCACCCCGGGAGGGGAGUGAAAAAGAACCUGAAACCCUGUGCCUACAAGCACCUAGAGCACGUCAAAGUGUGAUAGGGUACUUUUUGUAGAACGGUCCGGCGAGCGAUUGUAUGCAGCAAGGUUAAGGACUUAAGGUCUGGAGCCGAAGCGAAAGCGAGUUUGAAAAGGGCGUUAAGUUGCAUAUAAUGGGCCCGAAACCGGGUGACCUACCCAUGGUCAGGUUGAAGUGGAAGUAAAAUUCCAUGGAGGACCGAACCGACCUCCGUUGAAAAGGCGGCGGAUGAACUGUGGGUAGCGGAGAAAUUCCAAUCGAACCCGGAGAUAGCUGGUUCUCCCCGAAAUAGUUUUAGGACUAGCCUCAAGUUAGAUACCUGGAGGUAAAGCACUGAAUAGCCUAGCGGCCGAGAGGUUAGCGAAGCUUAUCAAACUCAGAAUGCCAGAGUAUUGAUGCUUGGGAGUCAGACAGUGUCAGAUAAAUGUCAUUGUCAAAAGGGAAACAGCCCAGAUCUACAGCUAAGGUCCCAAAGUCAGGUUAAGUGGAAAACGAUGUGAAGAUACGCAGACAACCAGGAUGUUGGCUCAGAAGCAGCCACUCAUUCAAAGAGUGCGUAAUAGCUCACUGGUCGAGCGUCUUUGCGCGGAGAAUUUAACGGGGCUAAACCUGACACCGAAGCUUAGGCAAUCCAGCAAUGGAUUGGGUAGGGGAGCGUUGUAUACGCGGAGAAACAGUAGCGUAAGCGGCUGUGGAGUGUAUAGAAGUGAGAAUGCCGGAAUGAGUAGCGCGAAUGCAGUGAGAAUCUGCAUGGCCGAAAGCCUCAGGUUUUUGGAGGAAGGUUCGUCCGCUCCAAGUUAGUCGGGAGCUAAGGUGAGGCCGGAAGGCGUAGCCGAUGCACAGACGGUAGAGAUUCCGUCACCACCAAAAGAGUUAAGCACAGGGACACAUUUGAAGUCUCAGAGCCGGGUGUUGGUUCCGGUAGAGAUCGAGGGAAAUUAGUACCGAAGUCUGGGAUGGAAGAUGGCGAGAAAAGCUGUGUGUAUUUCUGAGGUGCCCGUACCGCAAACCGACACAGGUAGGUAGGAAGAAGAUUCUAAGGCCAACGGGAGAAGGGUUGUUAAGGAACUCGGCAAAUUGACCCCGUAACUUCGGGAGAAGGGGUGCUCCAGAGAUGGAGCCGCAGAGAAUCGGCCCAAGCAACUGUUUACCAAAAACACAGGUUUGUGCUAAAUCGAAAGAUGACGUAUACGAGCUGACGCCUGCCCGGUGCUGGAAGGUUAAGAGGAGAUGUGCAAGCAUUGAAUCGAAGCCCCAGUGAACGGCGGCCGUAACUAUAACGGUCCUAAGGUAGCGAAAUUCCUUGUCGGGUAAG